RNAcentral lists this ribosomal RNA (163 nucleotides) under Bowdichia virgilioides. Its description in RNAcentral is "5.8S ribosomal RNA". It matches the Rfam family "5.8S ribosomal RNA". Rfam says of the family: 5.8S ribosomal RNA (5.8S rRNA) is a component of the large subunit of the eukaryotic ribosome. It is transcribed by RNA polymerase I as part of the 45S precursor that also contains 18S and 28S rRNA. Lineage: Eukaryota; Viridiplantae; Streptophyta; Magnoliopsida; Fabales; Fabaceae. The record is from RNAcentral.
AAAAUGACUCUCGGCAACGGAUAUCUCGGCUCUUGCAUCGAUGAAGAACGUAGCGAAAUGCGAUACUUGGUGUGAAUUGCAGAAUCCCGUGAACCAUCGAGUCUUUGAACGCAAGUUGCGCCCGAAGCCACCAGGCYGAGGGCACGCCUGCCUGGGCGUCGCA